This 263-nucleotide ribosomal RNA is filed under the name uncultured bacterium. RNAcentral describes it as "partial 16S ribosomal RNA". It matches the Rfam family "Bacterial small subunit ribosomal RNA", at positions 524 to 779 of the family's 1533-position model. The record is from RNAcentral.
GACGAACCGUGCGAACGUUAUUCGGAAUCAUUGGGCUUAAAGCGCGUGUAGGCGGAUGGGAACGUCGGUCGCGUGAAAAUACCCCCGGCUUAACCGGGGAACUGGCAUCGAAAACGACUCGUCUACGAGGGGCAUAGGGGGAGCUGGAACUUCCGGUGGAGCGGUGAAAUGCCGUUGAGAUCGGAAGGAACGCCCGUGGCGAAAGCGAGCUCCUGGAUGUCUUCUGACGCUGAGACGCGAAAGCUAGGGUAGCGAACGGGAUU